RNAcentral lists this transfer RNA (441 nucleotides) under Acidithiobacillus ferrooxidans. The stretch from base 46 to 119 matches the Rfam family "tRNA". Lineage: Bacteria; Pseudomonadati; Pseudomonadota; Acidithiobacillia; Acidithiobacillales; Acidithiobacillaceae. The record is from RNAcentral.
AAAGAAAAGGGUCUAGACCCCACACACGCCACUCGGUAAGGAAUUGGGCCUAUAGCUCAGCUGGCUAGAGCACACGACUGAUAAUCGUGAGGUCAGUGGUUCGAGUCCACUUGGGCCCACCAAAUGGGGCUGUAGCUCAGUUGGGAGAGCACCUGCUUUGCAAGCAGGGGGUCACCGGUUCGAGACCGGUCAGCUCCACCACAGGGAUAGAAGGCCCGCAAAGAGCGCGGGCUGGUCGCUGGGGAAGCGGUAGAGAAGGGAUUUAGGGUUUAGUGUGUAGUGCUGAAUAACGCUUUAGGGAUGUAGGAAGUAAGGUGCUAUUGAUCACUGCCCACUCGGAAGAUUGAGUGCGUUAGUUUGUUCUUUGACAGUUGAGGAAGGGAAGGCCAUGUUUGUCAUCUUGCCGAUGGCAGACCUCCAGGUGGAUGCUUGGGGAUAUAU